Molecule: non-coding RNA, 117 nt
Filed under: Pan paniscus (pygmy chimpanzee)
Lineage: Eukaryota; Metazoa; Chordata; Mammalia; Primates; Hominidae
Also listed under: 1 other name
Source: Rfam by way of RNAcentral
GCUGGGCAUGGUGGCUCAUGCCUGUAAUCUCAACUACUUAGGAGGCCGAGGUAGGAGAAUCGCUUGAGCCCAGGAGUUCAAGACCAGCCUGGGCAACAUAGUGAGACUCCAUCUCUA